CAAAAUACGUGAAGUAAUCUUAUAUUCAUACAAGCAUUGUCAAAGUUGCUAGUGUUGCCACUAGUAGCAUAAUCGGAGAUUAUGUUGGUGCCGGUGCAAAAAAAGUGGCAAUGUUAGUAAUGUUAACCAGUAACAAACUGCAACU
Zingiber officinale is the source of this 145-nucleotide long non-coding RNA. RefSeq lists it as uncharacterized. The transcript is spliced from 2 exons. NCBI's taxonomy places the organism in Eukaryota, Viridiplantae, Streptophyta, Magnoliopsida, Zingiberales, Zingiberaceae. The record is from RefSeq and is a predicted model, not a curated record.